RNAcentral lists this ribosomal RNA (254 nucleotides) under uncultured bacterium. RNAcentral's name for it is "partial 16S ribosomal RNA". It matches the Rfam family "Bacterial small subunit ribosomal RNA", at positions 524 to 776 of the family's 1533-position model. The record is from RNAcentral.
UACGGGGGGAGCAAGCGUUGUUCGGAUUUACUGGGCGUAAAGAGCGCGUAGGCGGCCAGCACAAGUCAGUUGUGAAAUCUCCGAGCUUAACUCGGAAAGGUCAACUGAUACUGUGCGGCUAGAGUGCAGAAGGGGCAACUGGAAUUCUUGGUGUAGCGGUGAAAUGCGUAGAUAUCAAGAGGAACACCUGCGGCGAAGGCGGGUUGCUGGGCUGACACUGACGCUGAAGCGCGAAAGCUAGGGGAGCGAACGGG